ACAGAGACACAGAGACACAGAGACACAGAGACACAGAGACACAGAGACACAGAGACACAGAGACACAGAGACACAGAGACACAGAGACACAGAGACACAGUGCUGAAAGAACCACUAAGACGAGUGACGCCUAAUUACUUGGUACGCUCACACUGUUCAGAGGAGACUACAUGAAUCAGGCCUUCACGGUCGAAUUGCUACAAAGAAACCACUACUAAAGGACAGCAAUAAUAAUAAGAAGAGACUUGCUUGGGCCAAGUGACACGACUAAUGGACAUUAGACCGGUGGAAAUCUGUCCUUUGCUCUGGACAAUGACCCAAAACACACUUCCAGGCUGUGUAAGGGCUAUUUGCCAAUGAGGGGGAUGGAGUGCUGCAUCAGAUGACCUGGCCUCCAAAAUCAUCUGAUCUCAACCCCGUUGAGAUGGUUUGGGAUAAGUUAGACCGCAGAGUGAAGGAAAAGCUGACAACAAAUGCUCAGCAUUUAUGUGGGAACUCCUUCAGGACUGUUGGAAAAGCAUUCCUCAUGAAGCUGGAGAAUGCCAAGAGUGUGCAAAGCUGUCAUCAAGGCAAAUGGCUACUUUGAAGAAUCUCAAAUAUAAAAUAUAUUUUGAUUUAUUUAACACUUUUUUUAUUCCAUAUGUGUUAUUUCAUAGUU
Molecule: long non-coding RNA, 658 nt
Organism: Oncorhynchus keta (chum salmon)
Lineage: Eukaryota; Metazoa; Chordata; Actinopteri; Salmoniformes; Salmonidae
Exons: 3
Source: RefSeq, a predicted model, not a curated record